Long non-coding RNA from Daucus carota subsp. sativus, 2573 nucleotides. RefSeq lists it as uncharacterized. The transcript is spliced from 2 exons. NCBI's taxonomy places the organism in Eukaryota, Viridiplantae, Streptophyta, Magnoliopsida, Apiales, Apiaceae. The record is from RefSeq and is a predicted model, not a curated record.
UAUACGCAUGUCUCCAUAAAUUUUGUUUUUUCUUGUUGUAAUUAAAAGCAAUUUUUUGGUUGUUUUUUAAUUGGGAUAUUGCCAGAAUUUCUACACAACUCCUUCUGUGAAACCUCAUCUCUCUCGUUAAAUCACAGUAAUCGGGGCAUUGCUUUCUCUCGCAAAUAUCUCCUCCAUCUCUCGCCUCUGUACGUACGGUCACCAUAUUCCAUCGGGAUUCUCUGCUGCCGCUUCCUUUUCCGGCCAGCUACUACUGGGUUGGCGAGUUUCAGUCCUUGCUCCGUUUCCCCUCUUCAUCGUGUAUCGUGUCUCUGUGGUGUCCUUUGUAGUCUCCUCAAAUCUGCCGCCAAUCUUUCUUUCAGUAGCCGUUGUCUGCUUUAUCCAGCGAGUCCAGCGUUAUGCCACGCUUCCCUAUUUGAUUUCGUUGGACAGAUUCAGGUUCUUGACUUGCAGGCUCUGUUUUACUCCCUUAAGCAUGGAAUUUGGUUCUGAAAUUUUUAUAGUUAGCGUGGGGCUGGUUCUGCAGGACAGAUUCAGGUUCUUGACUUGCGGGCUCUGUUUUACUCCCUUAAGCAUGGAAUUUGGUUCUGAAAUUUUUAUAGUAGAUUGGAUUAAUGUCUAGGGAGGUCUCAUAAAAAAUUUCAAGUGAAAAACUUGUAUUUUUGAUUUAUUAAAAAUGUUUAAAUGUCGGUAGCACAGAUUGGUGAAAAUUCUGUUUUGAUGUCACAAAGAGAAUUGUUUUGCAAGUCUAAAUCUGUGAGUUGGGUUUGAAAAUUCUAUGACCUCUGCGUAUAAUAUUUAUAAAGAUCUCUGAGAAAUAUUUUGUUAAAAAAAAUUGAAUUAUUGACUUAUGAUUUAGCAUAUGAUUUCCGAGUUCGCUAAUUAUUUAAAUCCAGUCUAUGAGUAGUGGUUGAUGGUAUUUGAUUGGUUUAUUGAGUUGGUUUGAGUUGAUUACUUGUUGAAUAGUAUAGGAAAACAGGUGGAUAGUCUGAUAAACAGGGGAGAUGCUGCCGAUUUUUUUUUGUUAAGAAUUGAAUGUGAUUUGUUAUUAAUAGAUAUUAAACAAUCAAUAGCAUUACAUCAUAGUUAGAUUGAAAUAUGUUUAUGUGUUAUAUGAUCGUGAAUAGUUUUAAUAGUUAUAAAAGGAUAUUGGUCUAGGCAUGUGUUAUGUGUUAUCUGACUUGUAUGUCAUAUAUGACAAAGGGUAGUUAAUUACGUAUUCUAGUUAAUUUCGUCUGAUCCGAUGAUUGAAGCAAUAUUUGCAUAAUGCAUGGAAUCGAGCGAGGUAUGCUUACCAAUGGCGUUCUGAAGUAAUGAUAUGACAUCACGAGUCGAAUCAAGAAUAUUCUGAUAAGGCAAGGCUGUGAUGUAGAUUAAGUUCCGUUAGAAACUAGCAAGAUGGAACGAUUAUGCGGUAUAUAGUGUUGUUAGAAAUCUGAGCUAGACACCGGAGUCAAGGCAAGUAUCCCUAUCUUCACUUAUUGUUCAAGUGGUAUUUUCUUUAAACCCUUAUGCAAUUAAUUCUAUUCUCAACUUGUAAUUACUGCAAGUCUUCCUAUUCAAACUUUAUAUUUAGAAGCAAGUGCUCUUUCCUUCAAACUUUUACUUAUUGCAAAUGCAUGACUUAAAUACGAUUUUGAGUUGGAAAGAGUGACUUUUAAAUUGAUACACAUGGUUUCAAAAUCUCUACAAAUGAUUUUCAUGUCCCGGUUUAGUUCCUAUGGUUGUAAGGCUUAUCCGUUGUAAGUAUACUUCCGAUGGAAUAAACCUUUUCUUAAAAUGCAAAUUCUUUAGAACUGGGAAGUAAAAGAAAAAUUCAGAUAUAAUCAUUGGACUAUUGUUUUGUUUGCGUAAGAGGCCGAUGCCCAGCUUUGCGUAAGAGGUCUAUGCCCAGCCUAUUGUUUUGUUUGCAUAAGAGGCCUUUGGCCCAGUGUUAUAUGGAGACCUAGCUAGUCUUCAGUUCCGGAACAUUUUAUUUUAGAGCAAUGCGUAACCAUUGUCCGGGUUACUGUAGACUGAUCAUCUACAGUGACUAUUAACGUCCAAUAUAUCUGAAUGCUUUGGAAAUUUAUGUAUACUUUUGAAUUGUUUUGGUUGCAAGUUAAAAGCAUGUUGUUUUGUAUACUUCCAGUUCAAUUACUUUCUCUGCUUUAAAUCCUGUUUCUUUUUAAUUAUUAUACUUGCUGAGCAUUCUUUUGCUCAUUCUUGCUAUUUCUUCUAACCCCUUUCAGAUAAUGUUAAAGAUGGUUCGCCUAUUUAGGCUAAGAGUAAGAGUAAGGCUAGGCGAGGAUUGCAAGUGAUUAAGUUUCAACCUGAUGGUCAGGAAGAGUAUCCAAGAUCGAGUCUUUGGGACUAGUGGUAAUUGGAGUUGACUAAAUUUGGUUCAGUUGAAAAAAAAUAGAUUUGUUAAAUUGGAUAUUGGUUAUCCUUCAUAUCGAGGUUUAGUUGAUAAUAUAGUUCAAGCUGUAAUAAGAUCUGUAGUUUUGUUUUCUGAUUUCAAUAUUAUAACCUGUUUGCAAUCCUGUUUUAAAGGGGGUGAAAUUGAGUUUUAAUUUAAAUCAUUUGUUUUAAUA